Molecule: long non-coding RNA, 638 nt
Organism: Pongo pygmaeus (Bornean orangutan)
Lineage: Eukaryota; Metazoa; Chordata; Mammalia; Primates; Hominidae
Exons: 2
Source: RefSeq, a predicted model, not a curated record
GGAGCGCGCGGAGAGCGAGGGAGGAGGGAGCGAGAGAGCAAGCGGCGGAGGGAGGGGAGACCAACUUCUAGUGCUACCAUAAUUCGCCUAAAGCAGGUGCAGCAACUUUCACCCCGCCUGGCAGCCCGCUGAGAGCGAGAGAAGACCACGUGCACCAAACUUUAGGGGAGGAAAAAUGGGAACGUGGGAAGACGUGGGGCGGCAGAUCUGAAAAAGAUGGUAGGUGGAGGGACCCCAGGGAUUCACCCUGGCCUCGGACUAAUCCUAUGGCGCGCUUGCAAACCCGGCCAUCCCCUGGAGUCUGGAGGUCAUUCCGGACUCCUGAUGCCGCCAGUCCCGCGGUGAGACGUGAGCGCCAUUGGCGUCCGUAGCCUCUGUUUCCGUGGCAACCUAGUAACCAUUAAUUUUCAAUUAAAGGAGACAAAAAGCUCGAUGACAGCUCCAGGUCUGCUGAAGAUGUCAAGAAUCUGUAUUAAUAUACAGCAAGAGAGCAUAAUUGUGUGUCCAUCUUCCAGAGCAGCGAAAAAUGGAGGGAUAAUUACCAGCUCGAAAGCCACUCUGUAAUUUAGUUCUUACUGUCACCACAGCCCUACACAUUAGCAUAAAUUAAAAGCAGAGUUUAUUGUUAUCAAAGUGCA